CAGCCCUACUAUGGGUCAGAGACUGUUCUUUGGGCAAGAAAUUAGCCAGGAACAAAGCCAUCUGUGCUCAGCAUGGAACUUAGAAUUCGACAGUGGGAAUAAAGAGCAAGUGCAUCACUUAUUACAAAGAAUUCCUCAGUUGAGGGAGGAAUGAAAAGGUGAGGAGAUAUGAGAAGAAGGAAGAAUCCAAGCCCUACAACACAACAGCAUUGCUCUGGAAGACUUCUGCCUGGAGAGAGUCUUUGAAUGGAUCCCUUCAGGAAAAGUUUCGAUUGCCAAAAAUGACCUCCAGAAUCCACCAUGAUCCAGACCUCACCACCUGCCCCAGCUCCCCCCCACACUGUUCCACACACACUCUGCUUCCCACACUCAGGCCAUGCAAGUCACGUGCCUCUCCUCAGCAUGCCUGGCU
Molecule: long non-coding RNA, 412 nt
Organism: Ailuropoda melanoleuca (giant panda)
Lineage: Eukaryota; Metazoa; Chordata; Mammalia; Carnivora; Ursidae
Exons: 3
Source: RefSeq, a predicted model, not a curated record